RNAcentral lists this unclassified non-coding RNA (649 nucleotides) under Pseudomonas aeruginosa. RNAcentral's name for it is "partial contains 16S ribosomal RNA, 16S-23S ribosomal RNA intergenic spacer, and 23S ribosomal RNA". The stretch from base 1 to 142 matches the Rfam family "Bacterial small subunit ribosomal RNA", at positions 1392 to 1533 of the family's 1533-position model. Lineage: Bacteria; Pseudomonadati; Pseudomonadota; Gammaproteobacteria; Pseudomonadales; Pseudomonadaceae. The record is from RNAcentral.
GCCCGUCACACCAUGGGAGUGGGUUGCUCCAGAAGUAGCUAGUCUAACCGCAAGGGGGACGGUUACCACGGAGUGAUUCAUGACUGGGGUGAAGUCGUAACAAGGUAGCCGUAGGGGAACCUGCGGCUGGAUCACCUCCUUAAUCGAAGAUCUCAGCUUCUUCAUAAGCUCCCACACGAAUUGCUUGAUUCACUGGUUAGACGAUUGGGUCUGUAGCUCAGUUGGUUAGAGCGCACCCCUGAUAAGGGUGAGGUCGGCAGUUCGAAUCUGCCCAGACCCACCAAUUGUUGGUGUGCUGCGUGAUCCGAUACGGGGCCAUAGCUCAGCUGGGAGAGCGCCUGCUUUGCACGCAGGAGGUCAGGAGUUCGAUCCUCCUUGGCUCCACCAUCCAAACAAUCGUCGAAAGCUCAGAAAUGAAUGUUCGUGAAUGAACAUUGAUUUCUGGUCUUUGCACCAGAACUGUUCUUUAAAAAUUCGGGUAUGUGAUAGAAGUAAGACUGAAUGAUCUCUUUCACUGGUGAUCAUUCAAGUCAAGGUAAAAUUUGCGAGUUCAAGCGCGAAUUUUCGGCGAAUGUCGUCUUCACAGUAUAACCAGAUUGCUUGGGGUUAUAUGGUCAAGUGAAGAAGCGCAUACGGUGGAUGCCUUGGC